CCUACGGGCGGCUGCAGUGGGGAAUAUUGCACAAUGGGGGAAACCCUGAUGCAGCGACGCCGCGUGAGUGAAGAAGUAUCUCGGUACGUAAAGCUCUAUCAGCAGGGAAGAAAAUGACGGUACCUGACUAAGAAGCCCCGGCUAACUACGUGCCAGCAGCCGCGGUAAUACGUAGGGGGCAAGCGUUAUCCGGAUUUACUGGGUGUAAAGGGAGCGUAGACGGGAGCACAAGUCUGGAGUGAAAGCCCGGGGCUUAACCCCGGAACUGCUUUGGAAACUGUGCGGCUGGAGUGCAGGAGGGGUAAGCGGAAGUCCUGGUGUAGCGGUGAAAUGCGUAGAUAUUAGGAAGAACACCGAUGGCGAAGGCGGCUUACUGGACUGUAACUGACGUUGAGGCUCGAAAGCGUGGGGAGCAAACAGGAUUAGAUACCCCUGUAGUC
RNAcentral lists this ribosomal RNA (440 nucleotides) under uncultured bacterium. Its description in RNAcentral is "partial 16S ribosomal RNA". It matches the Rfam family "Bacterial small subunit ribosomal RNA", at positions 338 to 795 of the family's 1533-position model. The record is from RNAcentral.